CACUUCUCAAUGAGCUCCUUCCUGCCGACACAUCCGUGGCAGCCUAUGGAUUCGCACGAGAAGGACAUUAACAGCUCAGUGCUGGCACACUCACAACGUGCUUACAUCAGUUGUGAUUAGCCUGGUACUGUUCGACAAGU
This 140-nucleotide small nucleolar RNA is filed under the name Pavo cristatus (Indian peafowl). RNAcentral's name for it is "Small nucleolar RNA SNORA75 (ENSPSTG00000018902.1)". It matches the Rfam family "Small nucleolar RNA SNORA75". Rfam says of the family: U23 belongs to the H/ACA class of snoRNAs. snoRNAs bind a number of proteins (including dyskerin, Gar1p and Nop10p in the case of the H/ACA class) to form snoRNP complexes. This class are thought to guide the sites of modification of uridines to pseudouridines by forming direct base pairing interactions with substrate RNAs. Lineage: Eukaryota; Metazoa; Chordata; Aves; Galliformes; Phasianidae. The record is from Rfam by way of RNAcentral.